GAUGAACGCUAGCGGCAGGCUUAAUACAUGCAAGUCGAACGGGAUUGAGAAGCUUGCUUUUCAUGAGAGUGGCGCACGGGUGCGUAACACGUAUGCAACCUACCUUGUCCAGGGGGAUAGCCCGUUGAAAGACGGAUUAAGACCGCAUAACAUUGAGCUGUGGCAUCACAAAUCAAUCAAAUAUUUAUAGGGACAGGAUGGGCAUGCGCCCGAUUAGGUAGUUGGCGGGGUAAUGGCCCACCAAGCCGACGAUCAGUAGGGGAUCUGAGAGGAUGACCCCCCACACUGGUACUGAGACACGGACCAGACUCCUACGGGAGGCAGCAGUAAGGAAUAGUGGUCAAUGGGCGAAAGCCUGAACCAGCCAUGCCGCGUGCAGGAAGACGGCCCUACGGGUUGUAAACUGCUUUUAUACGGGAAUAACCCCGGUUUCGUGAAACCGGCUGAAUGUACCGUAAGAAUAAGGAUCGGCUAACUCCGUGCCAGCCGCCGCGGUAA
RNAcentral lists this ribosomal RNA (498 nucleotides) under uncultured bacterium. RNAcentral's name for it is "partial 16S ribosomal RNA". It matches the Rfam family "Bacterial small subunit ribosomal RNA", at positions 28 to 523 of the family's 1533-position model. The record is from RNAcentral.